CAGCAGCAGCCGCGGGAAUACGAAGGGUGCAAGCGUUAAUCGGAAUUACUGGGCGUAAAGCGUGCGUAGGCGGUUUGUUAAGUCUGCUGUGAAAUCCCCGGGCUCAACCUGGGAAUGGCAGUGGAUACUGGCAAGCUAGAGUGUGUCAGAGGAUGGUGGAAUUCCCGGUGUAGCGGUGAAAUGCGUAGAGAUCGGGAGGAACAUCAGUGGCGAAGGCGGCCAUCUGGGACAACACUGACGCUGAGGCACGAAAGCGUGGGGAGCAAACAGGAUUAGAUACCCCAGUAGUCCCUGUCUCUUAUAC
Molecule: ribosomal RNA, 304 nt
Filed under: uncultured bacterium
Lineage: Bacteria
Description: partial 16S ribosomal RNA
Rfam family: Bacterial small subunit ribosomal RNA
Source: RNAcentral